UUGACAGUUUGUCUGCUAGUGAUGUGUGUGUGUGUACUUUGACAGUUUGUCUGCUAGUGAUGUGAGUGUACUUUGUCUGUUUGUCAGUGUGACGUGUGUCACUACAACCGAUGGACAAGAUCUGAUGCAUUCUUUCUCGCUUGGCCAUUAUCAGCACCCCCUGAUAAAGACAUCUUCCCUUGGCCAUGAUUUGGCAUUCUAGUUAAGAAACAGCAGGUGAUGAGACUGAAACUGACCCCAAAGGACCCAAACAUGGACCUGAAUGAUCCAUCUUUGCAGUAGGCCAUCUUGCAGCAGCUGAGGGAGAAGUCUGAUCCUUCCCUCACACUGAGAUGGACGGAACAGCCUGAUGGAAAGAUCUUCCACAAAGAAAAAAAUGAGUAGAAAAACGAUUGCAUGUCUGUUAUGUAUACUUAAAU
Molecule: long non-coding RNA, 419 nt
Organism: Esox lucius (northern pike)
Lineage: Eukaryota; Metazoa; Chordata; Actinopteri; Esociformes; Esocidae
Exons: 3
Source: RefSeq, a predicted model, not a curated record